RNAcentral lists this ribosomal RNA (399 nucleotides) under uncultured bacterium. RNAcentral describes it as "bacterial SSU rRNA". It matches the Rfam family "Bacterial small subunit ribosomal RNA", at positions 338 to 747 of the family's 1533-position model. The record is from RNAcentral.
CCUCGGGGAGGCAGCAGGUGGGGAAUAUUGUGUACAAUGGGGGCAACCCUGCAUCCAGCAAUGCCGCGGUGGUGGUGAAGAAGGCCUUAGGGUUGUAAAGCACUUUCGCCGAUGACGAUGAUGACGGUAGUCGGACAAGAAGCCCCGGCUAACUCCGUGCCAGCAGCCGCGGUAAUACGGAGGGGGCGAGCGUUGCUCGGAAUUACUGGGCGUAAAGGGCGCGUAGGCGGCGCAAUUAGUCAGGCGUGAAAGCCCCGGGCUCAACCUGGGAACAGCGCUUGAUACUGUUGUGCUAGAGUACGGAGGAGGGUAGUGGAAUUCCCAGUGUAGAGGUGAAAUUCGUAGAUAUUGGGAAGAACACCAGUGGCGAAGGCGGCUACCUGGUCCGGUACUGACGCU